AGUGAACGCUGGCGGUAGGCCUAACACAUGCAAGUCGAACGGCAGCACAGUAAGAGCUUGCUCUUACGGGUGGCGAGUGGCGGACGGGUGAGGAAUACAUCGGAAUCUACUUUUUCGUGGGGGAUAACGUAGGGAAACUUACGCUAAUACCGCAUACGACCUACGGGUGAAAGCAGGGGAUCUUCGGACCUUGCGCGAUUGAAUGAGCCGAUGUCGGAUUAGCUAGUUGGCGGGGUAAAGGCCCACCAAGGCGACGAUCCGUAGCUGGUCUGAGAGGAUGAUCAGCCACACUGGAACUGAGACACGGUCCAGACUCCUACGGGAGGCAGCAGUGGGGAAUAUUGGACAAUGGGCGCAAGCCUGAUCCAGCCAUACCGCGUGGGUGAAGAAGGCCUUCGGGCUGUAAAGCCCUUUUGUUGGGAAAGAAAAGCAGCAGGUUAAUACCCCGCUGUUCUGACGGUACCCAAAGAAUAAGCACCGGCUAACUUCGU
RNAcentral lists this ribosomal RNA (491 nucleotides) under uncultured bacterium. RNAcentral's name for it is "partial 16S ribosomal RNA". It matches the Rfam family "Bacterial small subunit ribosomal RNA", at positions 29 to 506 of the family's 1533-position model. The record is from RNAcentral.